CUGGCUCAGAAUGAACGCUGGCGGCGUGCUUAACACAUGCAAGUCGAACGAGAAAUCUUUAGCUCGCUAGAGAAAGUAAAGUGGCGCACGGGUGAGUAACGCGUGGGUAAUCUGCCUCCGAAUCGGGGAUAACAUUGCGAAAGCGAUGCUAAUACCGGAUAAAAUCUGGUUGGCUUCGGUGAACCGGAUCAAAGGUGGUCUCUUUAUAAAAGCUACCGUUUGGAGAUGAGCUCGCGUACCAUUAGCUAGUUGGUGAGGUAAAGGCUCACCAAGGCGACGAUGGUUAGCUGGUCUGAGAGGAUGAUCAGCCACACCGGAACUGGAACACGGUCCGGACUCCUACGGGAGGCAGCAGUGAGGAAUUUUGCGCAAUGGGGGAAACCCUGACGCAGCAACGCCGCGUGAGUGAUGAAGGCUUUCGGGUCGUAAAGCUCUGUCAGGUGGGAAGAACCCACCAAGUGUUAAGACCACUUGGUGCUGACGGUACCACCGAAGGAAGCACCGGCUAACUCCGUGCCAGCAGCCGCGGUAAUACGGGGGGUGCGAGCGUUAUUCGGAAUCAUUGGGCGUAAAGGGCGCGCAGGCGGUUUUGUAAGUCAGAUGUGAAAUCCCGGGGCUUAACCCCGGAAGUGCAUAUGAAACUAUGAGACUUGAGUAUGGGAGAGGGAAGCGGAAUUCCUGGUGUAGCGGUGAAAUGCGUAGAUAUCAGGAGGAACACCGGUGGCGAAGGCGGCUUCCUGGACCAUUACUGACGCUGAGGCGCGAAGGCGUGGGGAGCGAACAGGAUUAGAUACCCUGGUAGUCCACGC
RNAcentral lists this ribosomal RNA (809 nucleotides) under uncultured organism. RNAcentral's name for it is "bacterial SSU rRNA". It matches the Rfam family "Bacterial small subunit ribosomal RNA", at positions 19 to 800 of the family's 1533-position model. The record is from RNAcentral.